AACAACUCACCUGCCGAAUGAAUUAGCCCUGAAAAUGGAUGACGCUGAAGCCGACAGCCGACACCACGCCGUCUGACCAAAGUGGUUAUCAGAUGAGUAGGAGGGCGUGGCGGUUGUAUGGAAGCGUGGGUGCGAACCUGCGUGAAACGGCCGCUAGUGCAGAUCUUGGUGGUAGUAGCAAAUAUUCAAGUGAGAUCCUUGAAGGACGAAGCGGGGAAGGGUUCCACGCGAACAUUGAUUGAGCGUGGGUGAGUCGUUCCUAAGCCGAGUGGUUAUUGCUAAUUACCGGCGAAAGGGAAGCAGGUUGACAUUCCUGCACACGGAUGUGGAGGCGGUGACGCCGUAUUGGGGUGAUGACGUUGGCAGUGGCUCUGGGCAGAGUUGUCUUUUCUGUUUAACCGUCAGUAUGUACUCUGUGGAAUCCGCUUGUCGGGAGAAACAGGUAUGUACGGGCAUAGCGCCGGGGCUUUUCCGGCGUCCAGAUCGCCACUGACGACCCUUGAAAAAUCACUUACUGGGCAUGGACUCGUUCUGUGCAAAAUCCACGCCGUGGCGUACCGAUAACCGCAUCAGGUCCCCAAGGUGAACAGCCUCUGUCCGAUAUGAAAAAU
Molecule: ribosomal RNA, 611 nt
Filed under: Centroceras clavulatum
Lineage: Eukaryota; Rhodophyta; Florideophyceae; Ceramiales; Ceramiaceae
Description: eukaryotic LSU rRNA
Rfam family: Eukaryotic large subunit ribosomal RNA
Source: RNAcentral